CACUGUUGCAGUAACAAGCAGCCCCCCGUGGGUCCCCCAGGCUGCAUGCUGAUGCUCCCCUGAAAGGGCCCGGGCAGGCCACAGGACUCCUGGACAAACAUGCACCGUAGGCCAAAGUUCCAGGACUCAGGAAGGGACAGACACCCAAAGCAUCUGCCCCUCGAACCGGGGCCACUAUAGGGCCUGGGGCCGCCCCUGGGUGUCUGUGUUCUCGAUGGAGAAAGCACGCUGCGCUCUGCUGGAUGGUGCCUUGCUGUCGUGUUCAUCCCUGUGUCCACGUGAACACCUGCCCUACCCUGCAACCUCUCGGGCCCUCAGACAUGCCGCAAACACAGCUCCUCCCAUGUCCUUCGAUACAGUUGCACACCCCAUGUACCCAGGCCCCACAAAGCACAGGGCGCGGCACCUCCAAGCCAGAUGCAGAUGGACGGUGGUCAGGGCUGGGAGCUGGGGACAAAAAGAGGAUGAAAGGAUACUGGUGGUGGAGAUGGCUUGGUAACACCUUCCAUCAGGAUCCGCUGUAUCGUUGGGCCCCCAAGGUAAAUCCUCUCAAAACACAGACAGGAGGUGCCUCCUCCUCAAGCUCAGGGGCACAUGGUCAAGUCCUCCUUCCUGUUGGGGCUAGGAGCGCCACGCUAAGGCCUCCCACCAACUUCUGUUCUUGUGUAAGUUCAUUCUAACCUGAUCUGUCCUUCUCCACGUGCAUCUUGGUGUUGUUCGCUUUCACCCUGUUCGGUGCCGGUGAGCCAUGAACCUUGAAAACAAAACAAACAGUGCAUGUGACAGCCAGCCCCCAACCCUGGCAGGUCCUCCCAGAGCCAGGCCUCGCCUUCUGGAACUUGCCGCCAUGGCCAGCAGGUUCCCAGAGCUGUCUGUGCUGUGCGCAUCACUCCCAGAAUCACAGUGGACUUUCCUCCGUCUAAAGUACGAGUCGCCCUGCAGCGGGGUGGCCAACUGUGACAGCAGUAGUCUGCGUUGAAGGAAGGGUCAGGUCCCUGGAGCAGUGUUUGCUGCGUGCCCACAGACACCAGGCUUCCAGGAAAACCAAGGGGCACCCACCGCCCACCUGUGUACAGUUCAGGGAUGGACAGGGCUCAGCACCGAGCUCACUCCCAAGGACACCAGAGCAGAAGGGCCUGGAACUUGGCAGCGUUUGGCCUGCAGAGACAGUCAGCUGGGAACCUGAGGUCAGAGGAGGUGGCAGGAGAGGACGGCACAGACCAUCAGGCAGAGGUGUGCAGAGAGAAGGGACGGUGUCCUGCACGCUGCGGGGCCAUGCCUGCUUUCAGGACAGACCAGCGCGCAGCACCCCGAGAGCAACCUCCCCAUAUUGCAGCUUUGUCAUGCUGUUCAAUAACAGGCCUGUGUUCAAUAACCAAAUGGGAGCCCAGACCCUGACGGCUCGGAAGGGCUUCUGCCCGGGUGUGAAUUUGCUGACAAAGAGACACACGGCCUCCCCAGAAGGUUCCAGGCGAGCUGCUGAAGGGACAGCUUCAGACUGGAGACAGCGCUGCAGGUCUGACCUUCUGUGGAAUGGUGCCGGUGCACUUAAUCCCCUAGGAACCUGGACAGAAGAGCCCCAGAGUCGGCCUUGCUGUGGGCAGAGGAGGGGACCCGAGCCUGGGGUGUCCCCCCAUAAGAAUGACUGUCUGGAAAAGCCAAGGGAGGGGCUGGGCCUGGCGGCUCCUCAAGCCCCCCUGGUGGGGGGAGCCACCAGCACGAGCUCCGUUUUGGGCCAGGGGCCAGACGCAGGCCCACCAGCUUCUAGAACCUUCUGUCCUCACAAGCCCAUGGGAUCCAGGGAAUGGCCCCUGGCCGGCAGUGGGUGGGCUGGGCCACGUGGCCAAGAGCUGCUCUCAUCCUGGCAGGAGCAACGUGGGCUCCAGUGGCUGUGAUGUCACCAGACACCAGCAAGGUUGUUCGGGGGGCCCUGAAGGCAGCAGAGGAGCCCAGCUCCCAUCCCCCAUUGGACCUCAUAGUCCAAAGUCUGGGGCAAGACCCCGCCAGCUCCAUCCUGACACACCAGUGCCUUUCAAGGCUCUGAAAUGUGGCAGCUUCCAGGCUUUUCUGGCAAUGUUUCUGGGGCUGUGGUUCCGUGGGGCCUGGCAGCCCUGCUCCUCUCAGGACAGAAUCCCAAGUGAGCCUACAGGGGUGCAACUAGAAGUGUCUCCACCAGAGUUGUCACCAAACUUACUGAAAGUGUGAGCCUGUCUCAGAACGAGUAAGUCCAGCCGGGCUGUGCUCUUGUCGACGGGAGUCUGCGCCAAGGCAAACUUCGCCAGCGUUUGAACUCUGUAAACAUGUAGCGCCAACCUCAGAUCUUUCAGAAGUUAGAGGCUUCAGUGGAAGUUCUUGGGCCGUCACAUUUCUUGAGAAGUUUGGGGCAAGAAAAGAGCAUCUGUGUCACUUGAACACAAGGCCCCUGGCCCUGCUCUGCGUCUCCAGGCCACUUGCCCCAGGCACCCCAGCCUUGAACCCCUGAUGUGGCCACGAGAGAUCGCCCCACAAGGUGGAGAGGGUCUGGGCGCCCCCGCCGCCUCCCCGGGGCAGCCGUCUUGUCUGGACCGCCUCGGAGGUCUGCCGGCAGGAGGCUGGGUCAGCCCGACGACAGGUAUCCAUGCAGGGGCUCCUGGCCACCCAGACGCUUUUCCACUGGGCGUCUGGGUAGGACGGAAAGUGUGUUGAACCAUUAGGGCAGGUUUUACUGGACUUGCAAAGAAGAGUGACAUCCACUCAAAAUACACCAUAAAUCCCUUUCACGGGAUGGAAUGUGUCAGCCUCACUGCCUUGGCAUAAAGGACAGGAGGGACCGCAGCGUAAGCAGCCCCAGGAAGCACGUCUGAGGACAGGUGCAGGACGCGCGACGCCACUCGGGGGACCCCACAGCAUCCCCCGCCCAGGAGGGCCCCCUGCACCACUCCGCCAGGGGCUUCAGCUCCGUGCUUCCUCAAGCACCGGCUCCGCUUGCUGAUUCUCACAAGCCGCCUUCCGUCCCCACUGCGACUCUGGAUCACUCCUUUCUAUUUAAAACAGGUUGUGUCGUGAGUGUGCAGCAUCACAGUCCUUCCGGAGAAACGGGGGCCCCAGAGGCCCCCACACGAUCUUGCGUCCUGGGCCCUGGCUCCCCUUGCUUCACAAGCUGCCGUGGUGGCAAGACAGCCAGGGCUGCCAGCGAGGCAUCUGUGCAGGGCAAGUGUGCCCGCACUCCCGGGCUGCUUCCCCACGUGUGUCAGAUUACUAGCAAAACACACGUAGCAUAUAUAAGCUACCGUCACGAUGGCAUUCAAACAGUUCACCACGUUCAAAACGCCCAACCCCCAUACCCAACACCGUCCCCCACACCCGUCCCACCUGUCCCCAAUACCUGUCCCUGACACCAUCCCCAUAGGCUUCACCUGCAACGGAGCCCCCACUCCACCACCCCCCGCGCCCACCAUCUGCUUUCUGUCUCCAUGAUCAAUGGCUCUAGGGACAUCCUAUGAGUGGACUCACAGCACAUUGGCCCUUUCGUGUCGGGCUCACCUCGCUCGGCACAGCGUCGUCCAGGAUCACCUGUGUCGUCACAGGUGCCACAGUCUCCCUCCCCCUUCCUGCAGAAUGAUGUUCCACUGUGUGCUUGGACUACUCUAUGCCCAUCCAUCCACCUGGGCCACGGGCACCUUUGCAAAAACCGCUGUUCUGAAUGUGGGGCACAUGUAUGUUUUUGAGGCUCUGCUUUCAAUUCUUUGAGGGAUGUACUCAGUCUUCACUGUACUUUAAUAUAUGAUUUCGUAUUUC
This is a long non-coding RNA of Canis lupus familiaris (dog), 3777 nucleotides long. RefSeq lists it as uncharacterized. The record is from RefSeq and is a predicted model, not a curated record. The transcript has 5 exons. Lineage: Eukaryota; Metazoa; Chordata; Mammalia; Carnivora; Canidae.